GACGAACGCUGGCGGCGUGCCUAAUACAUGCAAGUCGAACGCAUUUUCUUUCACCGUAGCUUGCUACACCGAAAGAAAAUGAGUGGCGAACGGGUGAGUAACACGUGGGCAACCUGCCCAUCAGCGGGGGAUAACACUUGGAAACAGGUGCUAAUACCGCAUAAUUCCAUUUACCGCAUGGUAGAGGGAUGAAAGGCGCUUUUGCGUCACUGAUGGAUGGACCCGCGGUGCAUUAGCUAGUUGGUGGGGUAACGGCCUACCAAGGCUGCGAUGCAUAGCCGACCUGAGAGGGUGAUCGGCCACACUGGGACUGAGACACGGCCCAGACUCCUACGGGAGGCAGCAGUAGGGAAUCUUCGGCAAUGGACGCAAGUCUGACCGAGCAACGCCGCGUGAGUGAAGAAGGUUUUCGGAUCGUAAAACUCUGUUGUUAGAGAAGAACAAGGAUGAGAGUGGAAAGUUCAUCCCUUGAUGGUAUCUAACCAGAAAGCCACGGCUAACUACGUG
RNAcentral lists this ribosomal RNA (507 nucleotides) under uncultured bacterium. RNAcentral's name for it is "partial 16S ribosomal RNA". It matches the Rfam family "Bacterial small subunit ribosomal RNA", at positions 28 to 507 of the family's 1533-position model. The record is from RNAcentral.